UGUUCGACCUUGCACGCAGACGACCCGUGAACAUGUAACCACAACGGGGUGACCGUGAUAAGGGCCUCGGUCCUUAUCCCCUAACCCUUCCCGACGUGAGUUCGUGGUGUCUUUUUUGGGGCAUCAUGGAUUCCGUUGGACCAUAACAAAACCCCGGCACGGUAUGUGCCAAGGAAAACAAAAAUGAGAAGGACACUACCUGUUUCGCCCCGUUUGCGGUGUGCGUACAGGUCGUGGCCUCCUUGGAAUCACAAACGACUCUCGGCAACGGAUAUCUCGGCUCACGCAUCGAUGAAGAACGUAGCAAAAUGCGAUACUUGGUGUGAAUUGCAGAAUCCCGUGAACCAUCGAGUUUUUGAACGCAAGUUGCGCCCGAAGCCAUCCGGCUGAGGGCACGCCUGCCUGGGCGUCACGCAUCGCGUCGCUCCCCACCAUACCUCCCCAACGGGUUGGCAUGGUGUUGGGGGCGGAUAAUGGCCUCCCGUGCUUGUGUUUCGGUUGGCCUAAAUAAGAGUUCCCUUCGGCGGACACACGACUAGUGGUGGUUGAAUAGACCCUCGUCUUUUGUUGCGUGUCGUGAGCUGUAAGGGUAGCCCUCAUCAAAGACCCCAUUGUAUCGUCUUCGGAUGAUGCUUCGACCGCGACCCCAGGUCAGGCGGGACUACCCGCUGAGUUUAAGCAUAUCAAA
Molecule: ribosomal RNA, 688 nt
Filed under: Lactuca sativa (garden lettuce)
Lineage: Eukaryota; Viridiplantae; Streptophyta; Magnoliopsida; Asterales; Asteraceae
Description: eukaryotic LSU rRNA
Rfam family: 5.8S ribosomal RNA (bases 257-412)
Source: RNAcentral